RNAcentral lists this ribosomal RNA (492 nucleotides) under uncultured bacterium. RNAcentral describes it as "partial 16S ribosomal RNA". It matches the Rfam family "Bacterial small subunit ribosomal RNA", at positions 29 to 507 of the family's 1533-position model. The record is from RNAcentral.
AGUGAACGCUGGCGGUAGGCCUAACACAUGCAAGUCGAACGGCAGCACAGUAAGAGCUUGCUCUUACGGGUGGCGAGUGGCGGACGGGUGAGGAAUACAUCGGAAUCUACUUUUUCGUGGGGGAUAACGUAGGGAAACUUACGCUAUUACCGCAUACGACCUACGGGUGAAAGCAGGGGACCUUCGGCCCUUGCGCGAUUGAAUGAGCGGAUGUCGGAUUAGCUAGUUGGCGGGGUAAAGGCCCACCAAGGCGACGAUCCGUAGCUGGUCUGAGAGGAUGAUCAGCCACACUGGAACUGAGACACGGUCCAGACUCCUACGGGAGGCAGCAGUGGGGAAUAUUGGACAAAGGGCGCAAGCCUGAUCCAGCCAUACCGCGUGGGUGAAGAAGGCCUUCGGGUUGUAAAGCCCUUUUGUUGGGAAAGAAAAGCAGCAGGUUAAUACCCCGCUGUUCUGACGGUACCCAAAGAAUAAGCACCGGCUAACUUCGUG